GUGCUCACUUCAACAGCAUGUUGUUAAAGUGGGAAGGCCACAGAGAAGAAGUCGUGGCCCCUGCAGAAGCAUGACAUGAAAAUCUGUGAACUAUCCCAUAUUUUC
Nannospalax galili (Upper Galilee mountains blind mole rat) is the source of this 105-nucleotide small nuclear RNA. The record is from Ensembl. NCBI's taxonomy places the organism in Eukaryota, Metazoa, Chordata, Mammalia, Rodentia, Spalacidae.